RNAcentral lists this unclassified non-coding RNA (212 nucleotides) under Hevea brasiliensis (rubber tree). Lineage: Eukaryota; Viridiplantae; Streptophyta; Magnoliopsida; Malpighiales; Euphorbiaceae. The record is from RNAcentral.
GCAACGACUCCGUGUGUCAUUCCUAACAUGUUUGUAACGAAGUUCUUAUCUUCUUACUUCCAAGGCAGCAAGCUCUACCUCCCUUCCAGUACUCGUGCCACAGAUCGUUUCACCAGUCGGUACCGGGGGAUAGCUGUGGAUCAACGAUGGCACUCGUCAGCUCAGCCACCCAACUGCAAACAAAUGAAGAAAAUAAGUGGCGGGAGUGUUCA